This 432-nucleotide ribosomal RNA is filed under the name uncultured bacterium. RNAcentral's name for it is "partial 16S ribosomal RNA". It matches the Rfam family "Bacterial small subunit ribosomal RNA", at positions 29 to 507 of the family's 1533-position model. The record is from RNAcentral.
AACGAACGCUGGCGGCAGGCCUAACACAUGCAAGUCGAGCGAGGACUUCGGUCCUAGCGGCGGACGGGUGAGUAACGCGUGGGAACGUGCCCUUUGCUUCGGAAUAGCCCUGGGAAACUGGGAGUAAUACCGGAUGAGCCCUUUGGGGGAAAGAUUUAUCGGCGAAGGAUCGGCCCGCGUUGGAUUAGGUAGUUGGUGGGGUAAUGGCCUACCAAGCCGACGAUCCAUAGCUGGUUUGAGAGGAUGAUCAGCCACACUGGGCCUGAGACACGGCCCAGACCCCUACGGAGGGCAGAGGGGGGAAUCUUAGACAAUGGGGGAAACCCUGAUCGAGCCAUGCCGCGUGAGCGAUGAAGGCCUUAGGGUUGUAAAGCUCUUUCAGCUGGGAAGAUAAUGACGGUACCAGCAGAAGAAGCCCCGGCUAACUCCGUG